Bactrocera tryoni is the source of this 2521-nucleotide long non-coding RNA. RefSeq lists it as uncharacterized. Lineage: Eukaryota; Metazoa; Arthropoda; Insecta; Diptera; Tephritidae. The record is from RefSeq and is a predicted model, not a curated record. The transcript is spliced from 4 exons.
UGGCGUUAAAAUCGCCAAACACGAUAAUAAAUACAACAAGGACCUAUUCGUCUCAGUCUUUAUCCCGCCCAUAGCACGUCUUGGACGGCGGGGACUUCAGCCUUUACUCUUACGAGGACAUCAACCAGCUGAGCAGCGGCACCUUCUUAAUUAGGUGACCGGACAAUCCAGAUGGAGAAUUUUCAUGAGGCACAGCCGUACCUGAAUGACUUUUGGAUUCCACUCUACAAUAUCGGAAAGUAAUAGACGCAAUUUGCUGACCAAAUCUAUGAUUAAACAACAUCAUCAGCGGCAACAAUGUCAAGUGAGUAAAUAUCCUUUUCAUUUUGGUAAUCAGUAUUUAAUUCUUUGCAUUCAAUUUGAGAAUUCUUUCAUUUGAGUGACAUUGAUAUGUUUGGCAACGACAAAAAAGAGCAAAGCGGACAUUUAAGCGCACGCACCUUCUUCGCAAAAGCAGAAAAUUCUCACUCGCACAAGCAUAUAACGAAAUGAGCAACGAAAGGCGCUGGUAACUUCGGCAGCAUCGGUUACAAUGUCGCACUGACAUUUAUCUUGAUGAAUGAUCGAGCUAAUACAAAACGUCCCAACAACACGACCGCGCCUGUGAUAGCGCCACGUGGCACACGCAAAUGACGAACGCCCGACAUGACGCCCGUGAUUGCCACAUCCGAUUACUAGGCUUUUGUAGAGGCUAACGAAUUUCGCGUUUACUCGUCGUUUAUUCGUAUCACAUUGGUUUUAUACUCGUACUUUGGCGAAAUUUAACUAUUUUUUAAGUAGAAACAUGUGUGUGUGUAAUAGCCGAUGAUUGGGUGGUUAUGGUUUUGCGGAGCUGGUAUGUCUAAAGGGAUUCAUCGUAAUCGCGAUGGUGUUAAUUUGGUGUGCAAAAAUCAAAUGCGAUUAAAAAUCUUAUCUAAAUGAAUUGAGAACUUUAUUAACGCUUCAGUGGAUGGAUUGUAAAAUCCGAAGGGUUGUUAUUUGGGCGAGACUUUCUAUUUUUCUCAUAUUGACAUUUUAUGUGUCUUAAUACCAUCUUUAUCAAAAUCUCCAAAGUUCUGUGUAUGCAGAAACACAUGAAGAAUUACGGGAGUUCUUGUCGAGGAACUGCUACUGUUACUAAAUGCUUGUCACAACUGUCAUUUUUUAAUAAUUAUAAGUUCAUACUGAUCAUUUUAGGAGACGAACUCAUUAAAAAAUACUCUGGAUCGAGUUAUAAUUGAGCUACCAUACUCAAACCUUACACCUACGUUCGCGCUCAGUAGCCUGGGCAAGAUGAGAAACUUUGAGUGAGAUGCGGUAACCAUACCGUGUUCAGCUCAGGGGCAUAACGAAGAGAGAGGGAGCGUUGAUGGACCACUUCGUAGUAAUCGGUUUCAGUGCUCAACAAGAUAGUUCCACCUGUCCAUCAGGAGGUCAUGGCGGAGGAGAGGGAGCCUUGACGGGGCCACUCCGAUGAAAUUAACUUAAUUGUUCAACAAGGUGGCCUUGUCUGUCCACCAGAACGUGCGGAUGAGCGUCUGUCUUGGAGUUAUCGACUCCCUUUACCCACGUGAUCAAUAAAACCUUUUCCUCAGCUGAGCUUGUGCCGUUGGGUUUGGGAUCCGUCAUGUAAAAAUGUAAUUCCAAUACAAAGAACACAAGAACCUGGGAUGUGAUGGAUAAUUAUAUGGACGAUGACGAACCGAGAUGAAAAACCACUUGAGACAUUCAAGAGAAGUGUUGAAAUCAUGAACUGCUUCGCUCUACGGUGAAAUGGAUAUAGUUAAGCGCACAAAAAUUCAACGAAUGCGCUAAAGAAGCCAUGGGUAGACAACGGAAGCAAAGGCGGCAGGCCCUGCCCGGCCACAGGAACUUAUCCUUGGCGGCAGUGAUUUGGAGAUGACUAAUGUAGUCAAUCAUCUUGGUCUUACGCUGGAUUCCACUCUUCGGUGGAAGCAGCAGGUGGAUCCGACCAUAGUCACAGCUACUAAAGCUGCAAGCCAAGGGCACAAUUUGUAUGUGUCGAACUGAAGGACUUGAAGUUAGGAUGAGUUUGCAUCGCUUCACCUAGUAAUACAAGUAAAUCAAGCAGCCAAACAUACACUGCUUCAAAUAACAGCUGAAGGCUUUGUUAGAAGAAAGGUAAUCUCGUCCCAGCAAAUGAAAGCCCUAAGUGUUGAACUAUCACUGGCUCUUCUGUCUAGUAUCAGCAUUGCCAAAAGGGUAUACCCAACUAGAAAGUUCAAAGUUACCCUCAGCAGUAAAGCUGCAUGGAAUAAUUCCACUCUCGAUCUACUGCUUUGGGAUAGCACAAUCAAGUGGUAUUCCAACGGCUGGAAUUGAUGCAGGAUUCGCAGAACCACGUACCAAACUCUCCAUACCUAUUGGAAGUUUUCGAGCAAGAGAAAUUGGAGUACAUUCUGACAUGGCCUCGCAAAAGAAAGAGGCAAAUGGCGAAUUUUUUCUUCUCUGCCCACCCCGCGGUUGAUAUCCUUGCAUAAUUAAAAAUUAAAAGUAUACAAUCUGAGCUCCUUCCUUGGGA